This 429-nucleotide ribosomal RNA is filed under the name Actinomycetes bacterium. RNAcentral's name for it is "Actinobacteria bacterium partial 16S ribosomal RNA". It matches the Rfam family "Bacterial small subunit ribosomal RNA", at positions 355 to 776 of the family's 1533-position model. Lineage: Bacteria; Bacillati; Actinomycetota; Actinomycetes. The record is from RNAcentral.
UAGGGAAUCUUCCGCAAUGGGCGAAAGCUUGACGGAGCAACGCCGCGUGAGUGAUGAAGGUCUUCGGAUCGUAAAACUCUGUUAUUAGGGAAGAACAAAUGUGUAAGUAACUAUGCACGUCUUGACGGUACCUAAUCAGAAAGCCACGGCUAACUACGUGCCAGCAGCCGCGGUAAUACGUAGGUGGCAAGCGUUAUCCGGAAUUAUUGGGCGUAAAGCGCGCGUAGGCGGUUUUUUAAGUCUGAUGUGAAAGCCCACGGCUCAACCGUGGAGGGUCAUUGGAAACUGGAAAACUUGAGUGCAGAAGAGGAAAGUGGAAUUCCAUGUGUAGCGGUGAAAUGCGCAGAGUUAUGGAGGAACACCAGUGGCGAAGGCGACUUUCUGGUCUGUAACUGACGCUGAUGUGCGAAAGCGUGGGGAUCAAACAGG